CAUUGACUUUCCUAACCAACAAAAUUGAAACACAUGUCAAACAUGUGUUUCAAAAAAGUUUUAUUUUUAAUUUUAAAUUUUUCAAAACAAUUUUCUUAAAACAAACAUAUAUAAAAUAAACAAUCUUUUCAAUUCAACUUUCAAAAUUAAUUAAAGAUGAUUAAAAUUAUUAUGUCUAAAUAAAAUAAACAAAAUUAAACAGACGUGACAAUGUCGAAAUGUAUCUGAUGAGGACACAGAAUUCUGUGUCGAAACGCGUCACAUUUUUAUGUCAAUUUUUGUAAUAAACUAAAAGCCAUUUAGGCCAAAAUGAAAAAAAACAUCUUUUAAUUGAAAUAUAUUGGCUUUAACCUAAAAAUUGUAACAUAAUAUAAUCAAAAUUGAUAGUAAGUGCACGUUAAUUUUACUUAUUGUAAUUUAAAUAAAAUGAAACUUAAUAAUAAUUACUGUAAUUAAUUUGUGAAAAUUCUAUUUAAAAGUAAAAUAUAGCAAAAAAAAGA
This is a long non-coding RNA of Leptopilina boulardi, 500 nucleotides long. RefSeq lists it as uncharacterized. NCBI's taxonomy places the organism in Eukaryota, Metazoa, Arthropoda, Insecta, Hymenoptera, Figitidae. The transcript has 3 exons. The record is from RefSeq and is a predicted model, not a curated record.